UACGGGGGGGGCAAGCGUUGUUCGGAAUUACUGGGCGUAAAGGGCUCGUAGGCGGCCAACUAAGUCAGACGUGAAAUCCCUCGGCUUAACCGGGGAACUGCGUCUGAUACUGGAUGGCUUGAGAUUGGGAGAGGGAUGCGGAAUUCCAGGUGUAGCGGUGAAAUGCGUAGAUAUCUGGAGGAACACCGGUGGCGAAGGCGGCCCCCUGGGAUAACACUGACGCUCAUGCACGAAAGCGUGGGGAGCAAACAGG
Molecule: ribosomal RNA, 253 nt
Filed under: uncultured bacterium
Lineage: Bacteria
Description: partial 16S ribosomal RNA
Rfam family: Bacterial small subunit ribosomal RNA
Source: RNAcentral